GGAAGUAAAAGUCGUAACAAGGUUUCCGUAGGUGAACCUGCGGAAGGAUCAUUACCGAGUGCGGGAACCCAGUCGGGUCCCAAUCUCCCACCCGUGUCUACCACACCUAGUGUUGCUUUGGCGGGCCCACUCCUCCGGUGUUCCGCCGGGGGGGUCGUCCCGGGGCGCGGUGUGCCCCCGGGGCCCGUGCCCGCCAGAGGCACUCACUGUGAACGCUUUUGUGAAUGCGAGGAUUGUCUGAGUGACGAAAUGCAAUCGUUCAAAACUUUCAACAAUGGAUCUCUUGGUUCCGGCAUCGAUGAAGAACGCAGCGAAAUGCGAUAAGUAAUGUGAAUUGCAGAAUUCCGUGAAUCAUCGAAUCUUUGAACGCACAUUGCGCCCUCUGGUAUUCCGGGGGGCAUGCCUGUCCGAGCGUCAUUGCGAACCCUCAAGCACGGCUUGUGUGUUGGGCCGCCGUCCCCUCGUUUGGAGGGGACGGGCCUGAAAGGCAGCGGCGGCGUCGCGUCCGGUCCUCGAGCGUAUGGGGCUCUGUCACGCGCUCAAGGAGGGGUCCGGCCGGGGCCAUAGCCUCUGAAGGUCAAUUCUUCCAAGGUUGACCUCGGAUCAGGUAGGAGUACCCGCUGAACUUAAGCAUAUCAAUAAGCGGAGGA
This 650-nucleotide ribosomal RNA is filed under the name uncultured fungus. RNAcentral's name for it is "eukaryotic LSU rRNA". The stretch from base 264 to 417 matches the Rfam family "5.8S ribosomal RNA". Lineage: Eukaryota; Fungi. The record is from RNAcentral.